This 464-nucleotide long non-coding RNA is filed under the name Coffea arabica (coffee). RNAcentral describes it as "long non-coding RNA (CARA_LNC001325)". Lineage: Eukaryota; Viridiplantae; Streptophyta; Magnoliopsida; Gentianales; Rubiaceae. The record is from RNAcentral.
CCUAGGGCUUUCACAGCUUCACUCCCAAGUCCCAAAUCGAAGCUGCUCUCCGCCGCAUUCUACAUCUCCUGUCUCCAUCUUAGUCCUCAUACGACCUCAUUUCUCACUUCACCAGUUCAUCUUAAGUCUUAACCAUUAACCGACCUUAGUUACCACAUCCGUACGCCAUGCUGGUUUAUCGAUGUCGAAGCCGAAGUACCAAUCACUGCUCAUCUCUGGCUCACUUAGGUAAGUACUCAUCUCUGGCAGUAAAAUGGCCAAGAUCGACUAGGAAAUUUGUUAUCUUGAAUUGGCACUCCAAUUGAUUUAAAAUCUAGAGUUUACGCAUAUAGCUGAGAUUUUGCAAUUGACAUGAUUUUUUGCAUUAUUCUCCAAAUUAUUGCAGUCAUGUCUAUUGGAAGUACUAACAAUCCCAAUCAAGUCAUGGCAUCACCAUAUUGGUCAACUGAAAGUCUUACUUCAAC